AAACCUGAGAAACCCAAAAGAUCGAAUGGGGAGAUUCAUCGUCAGCGAUCUCGGCGCGUGGGCGGUUCGCGAUGUCGAGAGGUCUCGGCCUCGCGGCACGCGUCCGCGUUGCCUCGCCGGGUGUCGUCGGCAUGCACUUCUACCCUAGUAGGACGUCGCAACCCGUUGGGUGCCGGUCUACGGCCCGGGUGGGCGCCUGUCGCGCGUAACGCUUCGUGGCGUCGCGCGGCAGCCCACCGGUCACCCGACCAGAUGCCCGGCGGUACUCGUACGGUAUCGAGCCGCAAAUAUUCGAACUGCGUCCGGCCCGCUGCAAGCUUGGCCAGUGUGUACCCGGAUGUACGGACCUAGCGCCGUCACCGGGCCUGCCGGCUGUUGGCCGGCGGUGUCCUGAGACCGGCUCUAAUUUACCGGUCAGCGACGCUACUGCUUUGGGUACUUUCAGGACCCGUCUUGAAACACGGACCAAGGAGUCUAACAUGUGCGCGAGUCAUUGGGAUCUCGAAGCCUAAAGGCGCAAUGAAAGUGAAGGUCGGCAUCGCGCCGACAGAGGGAGGAUGGUCUGCGUUACGAUGCGGUCCCGCACUCCCGGGGCGUCUCGUUCUCAU
Molecule: ribosomal RNA, 608 nt
Filed under: Aphanistes ruficornis
Lineage: Eukaryota; Metazoa; Arthropoda; Insecta; Hymenoptera; Ichneumonidae
Description: eukaryotic LSU rRNA
Source: RNAcentral